RNAcentral lists this ribosomal RNA (1008 nucleotides) under uncultured archaeon. Its description in RNAcentral is "bacterial SSU rRNA". It matches the Rfam family "Archaeal small subunit ribosomal RNA", at positions 390 to 1407 of the family's 1478-position model. The record is from RNAcentral.
AGGGCAUAGAGCCCUCGCUUUUUGAACCGUAGGGUGGUUCAGGAACAAGAGCUGGGCAAGGCCGGUGCCAGCCGCCGCGGUAACACCGGCAGCUCGAGUGAUGACCGAUAUUAUUGGGCUAAAGCGUCCGUAGCUGGCUGGGCAAGUCUGUUGGGAAAUCUGCUCGCUCAACGAGCAGGCGUCCGGCAGAAACUGCACAGCUUGGGACCGAGCGGUCCGAGGGGUACGUCCGGGGUAGGAGUGAAAUCCCGUAAUCCUGGACGGACCACCGAUGGCGAAAGCACCUCGGAAGAUCGGAUCCGACAGUGAGGGACGAAAGCUGGGGUCACGAACCGGAUUAGAUACCCGGGUAGUCCCAGCUGUAAACGAUGCCAGUUAGGUGUGGCGCGGGCUACAAGCUCGUGCCGUGCCGCAGCGAAGGCGAUAAACUGGCCGCCUGGGAAGUACGUCCGCAAGGAUGAAACUUAAAGGAAUUGGCGGGGGAGCACUACAACCGGAGGAGCCUGCGGUUUAAUUGGACUCAACGCCGGACAUCUCACCAGCUCCGACAGUAGCAGUGACAGUCAGUGUGAUGAGCUUACUUGAGCUACUGAGAGGAGGUGCAUGGCCGCCGUCAGCUCGUACCGUGAGGCGUCCUGUUAGGUCAGGCAACGAGCGAGACCCGCACUCUUAAUUGCCAGCAUGGGCUUCGGCCUGAUGGGUACAUUAGGAGGACUGCCAGUGCUAAACUGGAGGAAGGAAUGGGCAACGGUAGGUCAGUAUGCCCCGAAUGAGCUGGGCUACACGCGGGCUACAAUGGCCGAGACAGUGGGAUGCAACCCCGAGAGGGGGCGCUAAUCUCCGAAACUCGGUCGUAGUUCGAAUUGCGGGCUGAAACUCGCCCGCAUGAAGCUGGAUUCGGUAGUAAUCGCCGCUCAGAAGGCGGCGGUGAAUACGUCCCUGCUCCUUGCACACACCGCCCGUCAAAGCACCCGAGUGAGGUCCGGAUGAGGCCCGGCAACGGUCGAA